Molecule: ribosomal RNA, 466 nt
Filed under: uncultured bacterium
Lineage: Bacteria
Description: partial 16S ribosomal RNA
Rfam family: Bacterial small subunit ribosomal RNA
Source: RNAcentral
GACGAACGCUCGGCGUGCUUAACACAUGCAAGUCGAACGGAAAGGCCCUGCUUUUGUGGGGUGCUCGAGUGGCGAACGGGUGAGUAACACGUGAGUAACCUGCCCUUGACUUUGGGAUAACUUCAGGAAACUGGGGCUAAUACCGGAUAGGAGCUCCUGCUGCAUGGUGGGGGUUGGAAAGUUUCGGCGGUUGGGGAUGGACUCGCGGCUUAUCAGCUUGUUGGUGGGGUAGUGGCUUACCAAGGCUUUGACGGGUAGCCGGCCUGAGAGGGUGACCGGCCACAUUGGGACUGAGAUACGGCCCAGACUCCUACGGGAGGCAGCAGUGGGGAAUAUUGCACAAUGGGCGGAAGCCUGAUGCAGCAACGCCGCGUGCGGGAUGACGGCCUUCGGGUUGUAAACCGCUUUCGCCUGUGACGAAGCGUGAGUGACGGUAAUGGGUAAAGAAGCACCGGCUAACUACGUG